RNAcentral lists this ribosomal RNA (553 nucleotides) under uncultured euryarchaeote. Its description in RNAcentral is "bacterial SSU rRNA". It matches the Rfam family "Archaeal small subunit ribosomal RNA", at positions 325 to 879 of the family's 1478-position model. The record is from RNAcentral. Lineage: Archaea; Methanobacteriati; Methanobacteriota.
AUGGGGUGCAGCAGGCGCGAAAACUUCACACUGUGCGAAAGCACGAUGAGGGAAUCCCAAGUGCUUGCACGUAAGUGUAAGCUGUUUCUUUGUUUAAAAAGCAAGGAGAGGAAGGGCUGGGUAAGACGGGUGCCAGCCGCCGCGGUAAUACCUGCAGCUCAAGUGGUGACCGCUAUUAUUGGGCCUAAAACGUCCGUAGCCGGCUGAGUAAAUGCUUGGGUAAAUCGUGUAGCUUAACUAUACGAAUUCCGGGUAGACUGCAUAGCUUGGGACCGGGAGAAGCUAGAGGUACUCCUGGGGUAGAGGUGAAAUUCUGUAAUCCUGGGGGGACCACCAGUGGCGAAGGCGUCUAGCUAGAACGGGUCUGACGGUGAGGGACGAAACCCUGGGGCGCAAACCGGAUUAGAUACCCGGGUAGUCCAGGGCGCAAACGCUGCUUGCUUGAUGUUAGUCGGGCUCCGAGCUCGACUAGUGUCGGAGAGAAGUUGUUAAGCAAGCUGCCUGGGAAGUACGAUCGCAAGAUUGAAACUUAAAGGAAUUGGCGGGGGAGCAC